This 362-nucleotide ribosomal RNA is filed under the name uncultured eukaryote. Its description in RNAcentral is "partial 18S ribosomal RNA". It matches the Rfam family "Eukaryotic small subunit ribosomal RNA", at positions 592 to 976 of the family's 1831-position model. The record is from RNAcentral.
CAAUAGCAUAUAUUAACGUUGUUGCAGUUGAAAAGCUCGUAGUUGAACUUUUGGUAGGAGCGACCUGGCCUUGGGCGCAUGCCCUUGUUUGCCGUGUGUCGUAUCUGGCCAUCCUUUUCUUCUUUUUGGAAGGAAUCCUUUACUGUGAGUAAACUGGAGUGCUCAAAACAAGACGUUUGUUUGGUACAUUAAAGCAUGGAAUAAUAAGAUAGGACCUGGUUACUAUUUUGUUGGUUUGCAUAGCUAGGUAAUGAUUAACAGGGACAGUUGGGGGUAUUCGUAUUUAAUUGUCAGAGGUGAAAUUCUUGGAUUUAUGAAAGACAAACGACUGCGAAAGCAUUUACCAAGGAUGUUUNCAUUAA